GACGUCGGGGGCGAGCCGGGCCUGCGCGGUAGUGGGACCCGACCCUGUCUCCAGUGGGCGUCUUGGGCCCCGGCUCUAUUCUGGGCUGCGGGCCUGGGAAGGGCUCGCCGGGUGCCAAAUGAGCUGUCCUAACUCUGCGGGGCUGCAGCUUCCUGCAUGAUGCUGGGGAGCUUGGCGCCUGACCCAGGAUCUAGAAGGCACUCUGGGCAGGCCGCGCUCCGCCCACGAAGGUACCCAACCCUCUGGGAUAGAUGCAGGAAGCGAUGGUUAAGACCCAUUUUCACCCAACUUCUCGCCGCAGGUUUAACCACCAAGGACUCUGAGAGCUGGCAGGUCUGAGUAACCCUGGUAACAAUUCUCUUCACCUUAUCAAAACCUGAGCUAAAACCAAUGCAUCAGCUGAUGAUGACAGCAGAGAGUGGCAGGGCUGAGGACCCAAAGUCAUUUCCCAGGCUGGCGGAGAAUAAACUGCCAGGGAGAAGAAUGAGAAGACAGGAGACAAACUGUUUGGAAAGCUAAAUCUUCCCUCUUAAUGAAUAAAGGUUUUUGCCUUGUCUUAAAGUUUCUGAGUCCUAAUUUUGGCAAAAUAAAUAACUUAUGGUAA
This is a long non-coding RNA of Homo sapiens (human), 604 nucleotides long. Ensembl annotates it as TP53 target 1. Its record names the gene TP53TG1. The record is from Ensembl. Lineage: Eukaryota; Metazoa; Chordata; Mammalia; Primates; Hominidae.